AAUACGUAGGUGGCAAGCGUUGUCCGGAUUUAUUGGGUUUAAAGGGUGCGUAGGCGGCUUGAUAAGUCCGUGGUGAAAGCCAACAGCUCAACUGUUGAACUGCCAUGGAUACUGUCAGGCUUGAGUACAGACGAGGUAGGCGGAAUUGAUGGUGUAGCGGUGAAAUGCAUAGAUACCAUCAAGAACACCGAUUGCGAAGGCAGCUUACUAGGCUGUAACUGACGCUGAGGCACGAAAGCGUGGGGAGCGAACAGG
RNAcentral lists this ribosomal RNA (255 nucleotides) under uncultured prokaryote. RNAcentral describes it as "partial 16S ribosomal RNA". It matches the Rfam family "Bacterial small subunit ribosomal RNA", at positions 522 to 776 of the family's 1533-position model. The record is from RNAcentral.